This 704-nucleotide ribosomal RNA is filed under the name uncultured bacterium. RNAcentral describes it as "bacterial SSU rRNA". It matches the Rfam family "Bacterial small subunit ribosomal RNA", at positions 61 to 766 of the family's 1533-position model. The record is from RNAcentral.
GUCGAACGGAACUGCUUUGAUGAAGUUUUCGGAUGGAUUUAAAACAGCUUAGUGGCGGACGGGUGAGUAACGCGUGGGUAACCUGCCUCACACUGGGGGAUAACAGUUAGAAAUAGCUGCUAAUACCGCAUAAGCGCACAGUUCCGCAUGGAACAGUGUGAAAAACUCCGGUGGUGUGAGAUGGACCCGCGUCUGAUUAGCCAGUUGGCGGGGUAACGGCCCACCAAAGCGACGAUCAGUAGCCGGCCUGAGAGGGUGAACGGCCACAUUGGGACUGAGACACGGCCCAAACUCCUACGGGAGGCAGCAGUGGGGAAUAUUGCACAAUGGGGGAAACCCUGAUGCAGCGACGCCGCGUGAGUGAAGAAGUAUUUCGGUAUGUAAAGCUCUAUCAGCAGGGAAGAAAGUGACGGUACCUGAAUAAGAAGCCCCGGCUAACUACGUGCCAGCAGCCGCGGUAAUACGUAGGGGGCAAGCGUUAUCCGGAUUUACUGGGUGUAAAGGGAGCGUAGACGGCAAGGCAAGUCUGAAGUGAAAGCCCGGUGCUUAACGCCGGGACUGCUUUGGAAACUGUUUAGCUGGAGUGCCGGAGAGGUAAGCGGAAUUCCUAGUGUAGCGGUGAAAUGCGUAGAUAUUAGGAAGAACACCAGUGGCGAAGGCGGCUUACUGGACGGUAACUGACGUUGAGGCUCGAAAGCGUGGGG